UUAUGUGUGCGUUUUUCUCUGAGAGGUAGGUCUCCACUUUAGUUUCUGUUGAUGAGGCACUCACGGAUACUUCUGGAUAAGGGUCAUUUGGAAGCAAGUGGUUGGCUGACUUUGCGAAAACAGCUAGAAACAGAUAAAAGGAAAACACAAUUUAAAACAAUAAAACAAGAGACAUCACAAAGCGCAGCUCUUCAGUUAGCAAACUGGCAAGUAAUGAAGUUCUAAAAAAUAAUUGGGAAAACAAAUCUAACUUUAGAACUAAAUGACCCAAAACUAAAUUAAAAAUGAAGUAAAAAAAAAAGAAAUUGGCUUAAUACUGGUGUCUUCUGAUGAGGUAAGUUGCUAUGUAAGGUAAAAACCACACGUGGCUGUAAUUUGGUGGCCUGUAUACAGUUCCAAUCCAAGCAUGUAGUUGGUUUAAAUGGGUUUAAUACUGGUGUCUUUUGAUCACUUGACUGUAUAUAAACCUGUUGUACAAAAGGUGCAUUUUAAUUUCACUAUACCUGCCCAUCCUUGUAGCCGGUCUCUACUAGCGUGGCACAGUUUCAAGAUCAGUGUAGGGCUUCUCCACUGCCUUCACUGGACAGAACACAUCUGAG
Oreochromis aureus is the source of this 599-nucleotide long non-coding RNA. The record is from Ensembl. Lineage: Eukaryota; Metazoa; Chordata; Actinopteri; Cichliformes; Cichlidae.